Molecule: ribosomal RNA, 440 nt
Filed under: uncultured bacterium
Lineage: Bacteria
Description: partial 16S ribosomal RNA
Rfam family: Bacterial small subunit ribosomal RNA
Source: RNAcentral
CCUACGGGUGGCAGCAGUGGGGGAUAUUGCACAAUGGAGGGAACUCUGAUGCAGCGACGCCGCGUGAGGGAAGAAGGUUUUCGGAUUGUAAACCUCUGUCUUCGGUGACGAAACGAGACGGUAGCCGAGGAGGAAGUCACGGCUAACUACGUGCGAGCAGCCGCGGUAAUACGUAGGUGGCAAGGGUUGUCGGGAAUUACGGGGUGAAACGGGAGCGUAGGCGGGAAAGCAAGUUGAAUGUUUAAGGUACGGGCUCAACCUGUACAAGCGUUCAAAACUGUUUUUCUUGAGUAGAGUAGAGGUAGGCGGAAUUCCUAGUGUAGCGGUGAAAUGCGUAAAUAUUAGGAAGAACACCGGUGGCGAAGGCGGCUUACUGGGCUGUAACUGACGCUGAGGCUCGAAAGCGUGGGUAGCAAACAGGAUUAGAUACCCGAGUAGUC